This 200-nucleotide ribosomal RNA is filed under the name uncultured prokaryote. RNAcentral's name for it is "partial 16S ribosomal RNA". It matches the Rfam family "Bacterial small subunit ribosomal RNA", at positions 1187 to 1382 of the family's 1533-position model. The record is from RNAcentral.
AAGUCAUCAUGGCCCUUAUGUCCAGGGCGACACACGUGCUACAAUGGGCGGGUACAGAGGGAAGCGAGUUCGCGGAGGAUGAGCGGAUCCCGACAAAGCCGUUCUCAGUUCGGAUUGAAGUCUGCAAUUCGACUUCAUGAAGCUGGAAUCGCUAGUAAUCGCAGAUCAGCCAAGCUGCGGUGAAUACGUUCCCGGGCCUU